This 2893-nucleotide ribosomal RNA is filed under the name Acinetobacter baumannii. Its description in RNAcentral is "23S ribosomal RNA". It matches the Rfam family "Bacterial large subunit ribosomal RNA". Lineage: Bacteria; Pseudomonadati; Pseudomonadota; Gammaproteobacteria; Moraxellales; Moraxellaceae. The record is from RNAcentral.
AGUCAAGUAAUUAAGUGCAUGUGGUGGAUGCCUUGGCAGUCAGAGGCGAUGAAAGACGUGAUAGCCUGCGAAAAGCUCCGGGGAGGCGGCAAAUAUCCUUUGAUCCGGAGAUUUCUGAAUGGGGGAACCCACCUACUUUAAGGUAGGUAUUGCAACAUGAAUACAUAGUGUUGCAAGGCGAACGAGGGGAAGUGAAACAUCUCAGUACCCUUAGGAAAAGAAAUCAAUUGAGAUUCCCUCAGUAGCGGCGAGCGAACGGGGAUCAGCCCAUUAAGUUAUGUGUGUUUUAGUGGAACGCUCUGGGAAGUGCGAACGUAGAGGGUGAUAUUCCCGUACACGAAAGGGCACACAUAAUGAUGACGAGUAGGGCGAGGCACGUGAAACCUUGUCUGAAUAUGGGGGGACCAUCCUCCAAGGCUAAAUACUCCUGACUGACCGAUAGUGAACCAGUACCGUGAGGGAAAGGCGAAAAGAACCCCUGUGAGGGGAGUGAAAUAGAUCCUGAAACCGCAUGCAUACAAGCAGUGGGAGCACCUUCGUGGUGUGACUGCGUACCUUUUGUAUAAUGGGUCAGCGACUUAUAUUCAGUAGCGAGGUUAACCGUAUAGGGGAGCCGUAGAGAAAUCGAGUCUUAAUAGGGCGUUUAGUUGCUGGGUAUAGACCCGAAACCAGGCGAUCUAUCCAUGAGCAGGUUGAAGGUUGGGUAACACUAACUGGAGGACCGAACCCACUGUCGUUGAAAAGCCAGGGGAUGACUUGUGGAUAGGGGUGAAAGGCUAAUCAAGCCUGGUGAUAGCUGGUUCUCCCCGAAAGCUAUUUAGGUAGCGCCUCGGACGAAUACCAUAGGGGGUAGAGCACUGUUUCGGCUAGGGGGUCAUCCCGACUUACCAAACCGAUGCAAACUCCGAAUACCUAUGAGUACUAUCCGGGAGACAGACUGCGGGUGCUAACGUCCGUAGUCAAGAGGAAAACAAUCCAGACCGCCAGCUAAGGCCCCAAAAUCAUAGUUAAGUGGGAAACGAUGUGGGAAGGCAUAGACAGCUAGGAGGUUGGCUUAGAAGCAGCCACCCUUUAAAGAAAGCGUAAUAGCUCACUAGUCGAGUCGGCCUGCGCGGAAGAUGUAACGGGGCUAAAACUAUGUGCCGAAGCUGCGGAUGUAUACUUUGUAUACGUGGUAGGGGAGCGUUCUGUAAGCCGAUGAAGGUGUGUUGAGAAGCAUGCUGGAGGUAUCAGAAGUGCGAAUGCUGACGUGAGUAACGACAAAACGGGUGAAAAACCCGUUCGCCGAAAGACCAAGGGUUCCAGUCCAACGUUAAUCGGGGCUGGGUGAGUCGACCCCUAAGGCGAGGCCGAAAGGCGUAGUCGAUGGGAAAAUGGUUAAUAUUCCAUUACUUCUGUGUAAUGCGAUGAGAGGACGGAGAAGGCUAAAUCAGCCUGGCGUUGGUUGUCCAGGUGAAAGGAUGUAGGCAUGUAUCUUAGGCAAAUCCGGGGUACUCUAUGCUGAGAUCUGAUAGCAAGCUGUACUUGUACAGCGAAGUGGUUGAUGCCAUGCUUCCAGGAAAAGUCUCUAAGCUUCAGUUACACAGGAAUCGUACCCGAAACCGACACAGGUGGUCAGGUCGAGUAGACCAAGGCGCUUGAGAGAACUCUGCUGAAGGAACUAGGCAAAAUGGUACCGUAACUUCGGGAGAAGGUACGCUGUUGUUGGUGAUGGAACUCGCUUCCUGAGCUGACGACAGCCGCAGAAACCAGGCCGCUGCAACUGUUUAUUAAAAACAUAGCACUCUGCAAACACGAAAGUGGACGUAUAGGGUGUGAUGCCUGCCCGGUGCUGGAAGGUUAAUUGAUGGGGUUAGCGUAAGCGAAGCUCUUGAUCGAAGCCCCAGUAAACGGCGGCCGUAACUAUAACGGUCCUAAGGUAGCGAAAUUCCUUGUCGGGUAAGUUCCGACCUGCACGAAUGGCAUAAUGAUGGCGGCGCUGUCUCCAGCAGAGGCUCAGUGAAAUCGAAAUCGCUGUGAAGAUGCAGUGUACCCGCGGCUAGACGGAAAGACCCCGUGAACCUUUACUGCAGCUUGACACUGAACUUUGACCUUACUUGUGUAGGAUAGGUGGGAGGCUUUGAAGCUGGAACGCUAGUUCCAGUGGAGCCGUCCUUGAAAUACCACCCUGGUAAUGUUGAGGUUCUAACUCUGUCCCGUGAUCCGGGACGAGGACCGUGUCUGGUGGGUAGUUUGACUGGGGCGGUCUCCUCCUAAAGAGUAACGGAGGAGUACGAAGGUGCGCUCAGCGUGGUCGGAAAUCACGCGUAGAGUAUAAAGGCAAAAGCGCGCUUAACUGCGAGACCCACAAGUCGAGCAGGUACGAAAGUAGGUCUUAGUGAUCCGGUGGUUCUGUAUGGAAGGGCCAUCGCUCAACGGAUAAAAGGUACUCUGGGGAUAACAGGCUGAUACCGCCCAAGAGUUCAUAUCGACGGCGGUGUUUGGCACCUCGAUGUCGGCUCAUCUCAUCCUGGGGCUGAAGCAGGUCCCAAGGGUAUGGCUGUUCGCCAUUUAAAGAGGUACGCGAGCUGGGUUUAGAACGUCGUGAGACAGUUCGGUCCCUAUCUACCGUGGGCGCUGGAAAUUUGAGAGGAUCUGCUCCUAGUACGAGAGGACCAGAGUGGACGAACCUCUGGUGUACCGGUUGUGACGCCAGUCGCAUCGCCGGGUAGCUAUGUUCGGAAGGGAUAACCGCUGAAAGCAUCUAAGCGGGAAGCCUACCUCAAGAUAAGAUUUCCCUAGGACUUUAUGUCCUCUAAAGAGCCGUUCGAGACUAGGACGUUGAUAGGUUGGAUGUGGAAGCAUAGUGAUAUGUGAAGCUGACCAAUACUAAUUGCUCGUGAGGCUUGACUAU